Molecule: ribosomal RNA, 3092 nt
Filed under: Salmonella enterica subsp. enterica serovar Typhimurium
Lineage: Bacteria; Pseudomonadati; Pseudomonadota; Gammaproteobacteria; Enterobacterales; Enterobacteriaceae
Description: LSU rRNA
Rfam family: Bacterial large subunit ribosomal RNA
Source: RNAcentral
GGUUAAGCGACUAAGCGUACACGGUGGAUGCCCUGGCAGUCAGAGGCGAUGAAGGGCGUGCUAAUCUGCGAUAAGCGCCGGUAAGGUGAUAUGAACCGUUAUAACCGGCGAUACCCGAAUGGGGAAACCCAGUGUGAUUCGUCACACUAUCAUUAACUGAAUCCAUAGGUUAAUGAGGCGAACCGGGGGAACUGAAACAUCUAAGUACCCCGAGGAAAAGAAAUCAACCGAGAUUCCCCCAGUAGCGGCGAGCGAACGGGGAGGAGCCCAGAGCCUGAAUCAGCAUGUGUGUUAGUGGAAGCGUCUGGAAAGGCGCGCGAUACAGGGUGACAGCCCCGUACACAAAAGCGCAUGUGCUGUGAGCUCGAUGAGUAGGGCGGGACACGUGGUAUCCUGUCUGAAUAUGGGGGGACCAUCCUCCAAGGCUAAAUACUCCUGACUGACCGAUAGUGAACCAGUACCGUGAGGGAAAGGCGAAAAGAACCCCGGCGAGGGGAGUGAAAAAGAACCUGAAACCGUGUACGUACAAGCAGUGGGAGCACCCCCACCAAAGCAUUCUCUGGUGUUGAAGGCCCUGCAAAGCAGCAUCGCGGUGGCGGAGCGUCGUUUGCGACGCCCAACACACAAAACAAGCGGUGAAUGCUUUGGGGUGGGGUGACUGCGUACCUUUUGUAUAAUGGGUCAGCGACUUAUAUUCUGUAGCAAGGUUAACCGUAUAGGGGAGCCGGAGGGAAACCGAGUCUUAACCGGGCGUUAAGUUGCAGGGUAUAGACCCGAAACCCGGUGAUCUAGCCAUGGGCAGGUUGAAGGUUGGGUAACACUAACUGGAGGACCGAACCGACUAAUGUUGAAAAAUUAGCGGAUGACCUGUGGCUGGGGGUGAAAGGCCAAUCAAACCGGGAGAUAGCUGGUUCUCCCCGAAAGCUAUUUAGGUAGCGCCUCGUGAAUUCAUCUCCGGGGGUAGAGCACUGUUUCGGCUAGGGGGCCAUCCCGGCUUACCAACCCGAUGCAAACUGCGAAUACCGGAGAAUGUUAUCACGGGAGACACACGGCGGGUGCUAACGUCCGUCGUGAAGAGGGAAACAACCCAGACCGCCAGCUAAGGUCCCAAAGUCAUGGUUAAGUGGGAAACGAUGUGGGAAGGCCCAGACAGCCAGGAUGUUGGCUUAGAAGCAGCCAUCAUUUAAAGAAAGCGUAAUAGCUCACUGGUCGAGUCGGCCUGCGCGGAAGAUGUAACGGGGCUAAACCAUGCACCGAAGCUGCGGCAGCGAACGUAUCACCCAAGACAACUUUACGGAGUUGACGAUUGACGGAGCGAAGCGACGUCAAAGCGUUCAUUAAAGUCGAGUUGGCUUAGGGAUACGUUCGUUGGGUAGGGGAGCGUUCUGUAAGCCUGUGAAGGUGUGUCGUGAGGCAUGCUGGAGGUAUCAGAAGUGCGAAUGCUGACAUAAGUAACGAUAAAGCGGGUGAAAAGCCCGCUCGCCGGAAGACCAAGGGUUCCUGUCCAACGUUAAUCGGGGCAGGGUGAGUCGACCCCUAAGGCGAGGCCGAAAGGCGUAGUCGAUGGGAAACGGGUUAAUAUUCCCGUACUUGGUGUUACUGCGAAGGGGGGACGGAGAAGGCUAUGUUGGCCGGGCGACGGUUGUCCCGGUUUAAGCGUGUAGGUGUGUGUUCCAGGUAAAUCCGGUUCACUUUAACACUGAGGCGUGACGACGAGGCACUACGGUGCUGAAGCAACAAAUGCCCUGCUUCCAGGAAAAGCCUCUAAGCAUCAGGUAACACGAAAUCGUACCCCAAACCGACACAGGUGGUCAGGUAGAGAAUACCAAGGCGCUUGAGAGAACUCGGGUGAAGGAACUAGGCAAAAUGGUGCCGUAACUUCGGGAGAAGGCACGCUGACACGUAGGUGAAGUGAUUUACUCACGGAGCUGAAGUCAGUCGAAGAUACCAGCUGGCUGCAACUGUUUAUUAAAAACACAGCACUGUGCAAACACGAAAGUGGACGUAUACGGUGUGACGCCUGCCCGGUGCCGGAAGGUUAAUUGAUGGGGUCAGCGCAAGCGAAGCUCCUGAUCGAAGCCCCGGUAAACGGCGGCCGUAACUAUAACGGUCCUAAGGUAGCGAAAUUCCUUGUCGGGUAAGUUCCGACCUGCACGAAUGGCGUAAUGAUGGCCAGGCUGUCUCCACCCGAGACUCAGUGAAAUUGAACUCGCUGUGAAGAUGCAGUGUACCCGCGGCAAGACGGAAAGACCCCGUGAACCUUUACUAUAGCUUGACACUGAACAUUGAGCCUUGAUGUGUAGGAUAGGUGGGAGGCUUUGAAGUGUGGACGCCAGUCUGCAUGGAGCCGACCUUGAAAUACCACCCUUUAAUGUUUGAUGUUCUAACGUGGACCCGUAAUCCGGGUUGCGGACAGUGUCUGGUGGGUAGUUUGACUGGGGCGGUCUCCUCCUAAAGAGUAACGGAGGAGCACGAAGGUUGGCUAAUCCUGGUCGGACAUCAGGAGGUUAGUGCAAUGGCAUAAGCCAGCUUGACUGCGAGCGUGACGGCGCGAGCAGGUGCGAAAGCAGGUCAUAGUGAUCCGGUGGUUCUGAAUGGAAGGGCCAUCGCUCAACGGAUAAAAGGUACUCCGGGGAUAACAGGCUGAUACCGCCCAAGAGUUCAUAUCGACGGCGGUGUUUGGCACCUCGAUGUCGGCUCAUCACAUCCUGGGGCUGAAGUAGGUCCCAAGGGUAUGGCUGUUCGCCAUUUAAAGUGGUACGCGAGCUGGGUUUAGAACGUCGUGAGACAGUUCGGUCCCUAUCUGCCGUGGGCGCUGGAGAACUGAGGGGGGCUGCUCCUAGUACGAGAGGACCGGAGUGGACGCAUCACUGGUGUUCGGGUUGUCAUGCCAAUGGCACUGCCCGGUAGCUAAAUGCGGAAGAGAUAAGUGCUGAAAGCAUCUAAGCACGAAACUUGCCCCGAGAUGAGUUCUCCCUGAGACUUUAGGUCUCCUGAAGGAACGUUGAAGACGACGACGUUGAUAGGCCGGGUGUGUAAGCGCAGCGAUGCGUUGAGCUAACCGGUACUAAUGAACCGUGAGGCUUAACCUU